UGUGUCACUGCAGCAGCUGUGCAGUGAGUUUGUCUUAAGUUUAUUAAUUUUCUGAACAAGUUUUUCAUAGUUUAAAUUUAGAAUUCCAUUUUUAGAGUAUUACUUCAUAUUUAGUGAAAGAGCCUACAGUUAAUGUUCACCUUAUAAUAGUGAAAGAGCCCACUUAUGUGUUACAUUAAGUAGCCUCCUUCCCACCACCAGAGUGACCUUGUGCACUUCCUAUGUGCAUACAGAGACCUUGUGUGGGUACAAGUACCACAUAAUCUUGCCACAUAAACAAUGGGCAGCCAUAUUUACUGACCAUGUGAUUUCAGAGACAAGUGUUUUCAUACUCAUUGCGAUUUAGUUCUUCAAGUUUCAUCACUUUAUUCACUCUUUGUGGACCUUGAAAGACCCCAUUUUGAUUGUUAUCUCAAUCUACUCAAUCUACUAUCAGCAAUCACCACCAUGUUGUCAAGUGGCUUCAUUGUGUUUAGUGUGUGGUUCCUGGAUUGAUUGCGAAUACCAGUCACUUGGGAGUCCUUUUCUCAUAAGUUUGAGAACUAGUAGUCCGAAACUCCUCUGGGCACAAGUGAGCCCUGAGGCAGCCACAAUAACAAUCAAAGGACAAUCAAAGUCACAACCAAAGUCCAGUCGUUCCAGAGCAUGCAGAGUGAAUAAACCCACGUCAUGUCGUUACCAAUCCAGUCGUCUUCUAGUCAUAAGUUUGACAAGUCAAAGAAGAGUAACGCCGGUCGAGCAGCAAGUCACGCUGGUCAUGUGUCGUCUUACAAGUCAAGCAAGAGUUCCAGUCGAGCCAGUCAUGCCGUGUCCGUUACAUCAUCAUAUGCACGGCAUCAGGAAGAAAAGCUGGAACUAGCGAAAACAGCGGCUGCUCUGCAGGUCCAGCUAGACUUUGCAGAGAAAGAAAAACAGCUGAAACUCCGGGAGUUGGAAGCGGCAAAGAAAGUGGAGGAAAUGAAGAUCGAGAGAGACAAAAAGUUAGAACAACUUGAAAUAGAGAGGAAAUUGGCCGAAACCCGAGCUGUGAUGCAGGUGUACUCAUCGCUGGAGCGGGAUGACAACAGUUCAAUAUCAUCAGAGCUGUCCGGCAUCCCCGCCGACAAACAUGAACAUAUGCAGAGAUUCCUCAACUCGCAUCAAAGUGAUCACCCCCCUCCACUGUGUCCAUCUGUGCCCCAAAGUGAAAGCGCAUAUGUGGACAAUGCGUCACUCCAACCAGUUGCCAUGGUUACAUCAGCCAAUCAGAACAGAUCUGAUGAACAGUCCAGUGUACAUCAUUCUCAUCACCAAAGUGAAGGAGGACGGAUGACGAUGUCGUCGGCACUUGAGAAGUGCAUUACACAGUUGGCCGAGUCCAGUAGACAACAGCAUGAUGUAAACAAACGCCUUGUUGCAUCUAGCCAGCUACCAAAGAUAGCCGUCCCCCAAUUCAACGGUGAUCCACUACAGUACCCCCUGUGGCGGAACUCCUUCAAUUCCCUUAUCGACAGCCAACCCCUUGACGCCGACACCAAGCUUAACUACCUCAAUCAAUAUGUGACGGGAAAACCAAAGCACCUAGUGGAGCACUACAUGCUCAUCGGCACUGAAGAGGCCUACACGCAAGCAAGAAAAGUAUUGAACGAGAGGUACGGAAACAGUAGUGUAGUGAGCACUGCUUUCAUAAGCAAACUCCGUCAGUGGCCGAGGUUAACGCCGAGGGAUGCAGCAGGCUUGAGAGAUUUCUCUGAUUUUCUGGGGAAAGUAGAGGCAGCACGAGCAACCACAGCAAGCCUUGGAGUGCUGGACUACGCCAGUGAGAAUGCUCGUCUAGUCGAGAAACUGCCAUUCAACCUUGAGACAAAGUGGCGAGACAAGAUUGACUAUUGGAGACAGAUCCGUGGUCAGGAUUCCUUCCCCCCAUUCAGCGAGUUUGUCAAACUCGUGAAGAUUGCAGCAGACAGGGCAAACAUUCCUGAAUUGCAGAGCGUGGUUCGAAGUCAGGACAAACAACGUUCAAAUGGAGGAAGUGCUCCGAAAAAGAACACCAGUGUUUUUGCGACUAGUACCAGUCGAGGUGAACCAACAAGCAGAGUGCAGUUGUCCAGUGACAAGAGUUGUCUCUUCUGCAAUAAGCGUCAUCUCCUGGACGAGUGUGAGCGCUUUCUGCGCAAGCCUUUCGCUGAGCGAAAGGAUUUCUUCUUCAAGAAGAGACUGUGCAUGGGCUGUGCACGUUCCAGUGAUCAUCAAGUGAGAGAGUGUAAUGACAAAAAAGUUUGUCGGAUCUGCGCUGGUGCCCAUUUGACCUGUCUCCAUCGCAACUUCCAACAGAGACGGCCAGAAGAAACUGCUUCAAGUAACCCCCAGUCAGCAGCGGCAAGUAAACAACCAGCUGACAAAGUCCCAACCAAUUCAUCCCCACCCAAAGAAGUCAUUGCUGUGCACCCCAAACGAGAUGAGGGAAUGUCCAACUGUAUUCAAGUGUGUUCCCAACCAGACCAAGAAGGAGAAGGUGACCACUCCAUGAUUAUACCAGUGUUGGUUCGUAGUGAGAGUGAUCCAGCGAGGGAGUUCCUCGAAUAUGCCAUCUUGGACGAACAAUCCAACAGUUGCUUCGUAUCAAAGAGUUUGUGUGAAAGGAUGAACCUGCAGGGACCAGAGACGCAGUUACUACUCAGUACAAUGCAAGAGCAAAAUGUGCAAAUCACCAGCAGUCGCAUAUCCGGGCUUGAAGUGCUUGAUGUCAAUAGAGAGCACACUGUUCAACUUCCAGUCUGCUUCAAGCGGGACAGCGUUCCAGCCAAGAAAUCCCAGAUACCGAAACCUGCGGUUGUGCAUCAAUGGCCCCACCUGAAGUCUCUGGCAGAUAAACUCAUGCCCUAUGAUCCAACCCUGCAAAUAUCUCUUCUCAUCGGGAGCAAUUGUCCCAGAGUAGUUCGACCCAGGGAAAUCAUCGCCGGUGGAGAGGAUGACCCUUACGGCCAGAGGUCACUACUAGGCUGGGGAGUAAUUGGGAACGUGUGCAAGGCUGCACGACAAACCGAUGACCAACCUGCAGUAUGCAACAAAGUGGUUGCUGCUGAACCACAAAGCUACCAACACUUCGUCUAUGGUACGAGGGUGAAAGAAGUCUUAAACCCAGAGAAAGUUCUCAAGGUGUUGGAAUCCGACUUUGUCGAGAAUCAUCAGGGGAAGCCAUACUCAGUAGAAGACGAGAAGUUCCUGAGCGUGAUGGAAAAAGGAAUAAAGAAAGCAUCCGAUGGCCACUACGAAAUGCCACUACCACUGAAGUCUGACGCUGCGACCCUGCCUAACAACCGCCAACUUGCAGUCAAGAGAUGGAAUCAGCUGUCCGCCAGAUUCCGAAAGAAUGUGAAGUUUCGUGAAGACUACAGGGAGUUCAUGAAAGAUGUUAUCCCAAAGUCUGCAGAGAGAGUCCCCCUAGACCAACUGGAAGUUGAUGAGGGAAAGGUAAACUAUGUGCCGCACACCGGAGUCUAUCACCCCAAAAAGCCGGACAAGAUAAGAGUGGUGUUCGACUGUUCAGCCAAAUAUGGAGGCGUUUCACUCAACGACCAUCUCCUUCAAGGUCCUGACUUGACUAAUGGUCUUCUCGGUGUUCUGUGUAGAUUCAGGAAAGAGGAAGUGGCCUUUAUGGUUGACGUGAAGAGCAUGUUCCAUCAGUUCUAUGUAGAAGAGAAGUACCGUGACCUGCUGCGAUUCCUAUGGUGGGAAAAUGGUGAUCCAGAGAAGCCAGUGGUCGAAUACAGAAUGAAAGUUCACGUGUUUGGGGCCGCUAGCUCACCAGGCUGUGCCAACUUCGGGCUGAAGAGAGCAGCAGAUGACGGAGAGGAUGAGUUUGGUGCAGAGGCAGCAAACUUCAUUCGUAAUGAUUUCUACGUAGACGAUGGACUGAAGUCACUACCCACAGUGGAAAGAGCAUCAUUACUGAUCAAAGCCAGUCAGAAUCUGUGUGGAAAAGCUGGGUUGAAACUGCACAAAAUCAUCUCCAACAAAAGAGAGCUGUUGGAAAAAUUCCCAGCAGAAGAGCGAGCCAGUGGUACAAGGGAACUAGAUCUGAAGGUUGAUGUACUACCAAUGGAAAGAGCCCUGGGCGUCACUUGGUGUGUCGAGAGUGACACCUUUCAGUUCCAUAUUGAGUUGAAAGACAGACCAUUCACAAGACGAGGCAUACUUUCAACUGUAAGUUCGAUCUAUGACCCAAAUGGCUAUGUGGCUCCAGUAACCCUCAGAGGGAAGAGAAUUUUGCAGCAGAUGUGUCGCGACAAACUUGAUUGGGACAGUCCAGUGCCAGAGAUGCUACAACCUGAGUGGGAGAAAUGGCGUUUAGAGGUUCUCGGCUUAGAGAAGAUCCAAAUCCAGCGAUGUUUUAAGCCCAAGGAUUUUGGAACUGUGACAGCAGUUGAAUUGCAUCAUUUUUCCGAUGCAAGCCAAGAUGGUUAUGGUCAGUGUUCCUACCUGCGACUAGUCGAUGAGAACAAUAAGGCACAUUGUUCCUUUGUAGUCGGUAAGUCCAGAGUGGCCCCUCUGAAGCUCGUCACCAUCCCCCGGCUAGAACUUGCAGCAGCAACUGUCUCAGCAACUGUGAGUGAAUUCCUGCGACGAGAGCUAUGUUACGAGAUGCUCCACGAAUAUUACUGGACAGACAGCAAGAUUGUUUUGGGAUACAUAAACAAUGAAGCAAGACGAUUCCAUGUCUAUGUUGCUAACAGAGUGCAGCAAAUCAGAAGUCUGACUAACCCAGAGAGAUGGAUGUACGUAGACACCAAAGAAAAUCCUGCUGACGAAGCAUCACGUGGUCUGACAGCAAAGGAACUUAUAGAGAAGUCCUGCUGGUUAUCCGGUCCAGAUUUCUUGCAGAAGGAUGGCCCCUUUCAACCCCAGCCAGCCGUAGUUGCACCACUGAGUGAAUCAGACCCAGAUGUGAAAAGAGUCUCAGCUUUCGUGACAACAGCUGAGAACAACGCACGACAUCAUCACUUCGAAGUGAGCCGACUUGAUUGCUUUUCAUCCUGGAAUAGAGCUUGCAGGGCAGUCGCUCUUUGUCUGAGGUUGAAGACAAAGUUGAGGAACAGAGUAGUGAAGAAACCUUGUGAAAGGAAAGUUUGUUCCACUCCUGCGAAGCAAGCAAUCACUGUGGCAGAACUACAGAAUGGAGAGAUGGAAAUCAUCAAAAAUGUUCAGCAUGAACAUUUCAGUGUCGAGUUACAGGCCCUACAAGAACUUGGUGUAAUCGGGCAAGUCACCGAUGGAAAGACUGCAAGGGUGAGAAAUGACUACCUGAAGAAGACAAGUUGUCUGUACCGGCUAGAUCCCUUUCUAGAUGUCGAUGGCAUCAUCCGAGUGGGUGGCCGUAUUGCCAGAUCUAAUCUUCCAAUUGAAGCUAAGCAUCCAGCCGUUCUCCCUCACAAAGGUCAUGUCACCCAGUUGUUGAUUCGCCAUAUUCAUGAGAAGGUGAAUCACAUGGGCAGAGGAAUGACACACAACGAGCUACGUCAGAGAGGGUACUGGGUAAUUGGUGGUUCAUCAGCUGUGUCCAACUACAUCUCAAGAUGUGUGACCUGCCGCAAACUGCGUGGAUCGCUGCAGCGACAGAAGAUGUCUGACCUACCCGUAGAUCGACUAGAGCCAGCGCCCCCAUUUUCCUAUUGCGCUGUGGACUACUUCGGUCCAUUUUUGGUGAAAGAGCGUAGGAGUCAAGUGAAACGUUAUGGUGUCCUGUUCACAUGUAUGGCGUCUAGAGGUGUUCAUCUAGAGACAGCAAAUUCCUUAACGGCAAGUUCUUUCAUCAAUGCCCUUACAAGAUUCCAGAGCAGGAGAGGACCUGUACGUCAACUGCGUUCAGACCAAGGUACAACAUUCAUCGGUGCUCGGAGUGAGCUGAGAGAAGCGCUAGCUGAGAUGGAGCAGGACAGAGUCCACCAGUACCUGUUAGAGAGCAACUGUGACUGGAUUCCCUUCAAGCUGAACACACCGCAUGCCAGUCACAUGGGAGGCGUGUGGGAGAGACAGAUAGGUACAGUACGCCGUGCACUAGAGGGUCUUCUUCUUAAAACCACGACACAACUGGAUGAUGAAUGUUUCAGGACCUUCAUGACUGAGGUAGAAGGCAUCAUCAAUUCACGACCUCUAACGACAGACUAUCUCUGCUCAUCAGACGCACCAGAGCCAUUGACACCCAAUCAUCUGUUCACCAUGAAACCCAAGGUGGUUCUGCCUCCGCCUGGAAAGUUCCAGAAGGAAGAUGUCUAUGCCCGCAAAUGGUGGAGACGUGUCCAGUACUUGACCAAUGAGUUUUGGGUGAGAUGGAGAAAGGAGUUUCUGCACCAUCUUCAAGAGCGCAAAAAGUGGGUCAAUCCAGUAAGAGAUCUACAAGUAGGUGAUGUCGUGAUCUCCAAGGAAGGUGAACAGACCAGGAACCAGUGGCCACUGGGACGCGUAGUGGAGACCUACCCGAGCAAUGACGGAAGAGUCAGGUCAGUGAAGCUCUUGAUGGCCGAUGGCACACGAGACAACCUUGGCAGACGGCAACACUCUCCAUCACUCCUUGACAGACCAGUACACAAGCUUGUCCUGUUGGUACCCGCAGAGAAGCCUGAAGCUCAAGAGACCAGAGAAGUCCCCACCGAAGAGCCAAACUGAAGAUCCUGCCAGAAGAGACCCACUGCUGACGACAAUCUAUUUAGUUUAUGAACUUUACAUUUUAACUGUUCUUGUUACUCAUUAGUAGGUAGAUACCAAUUUAACGAGCCAACACUAGUCCGCAUCUGAGGAGCAGUGCGUGCGAGACAAGACGUCCACCAAGAUGAAGGAACAUUUUCAUGGACAUUAAUCUUUGAAGUUCAGGUUUGAUUUUAGUUUGUUAACUGCGAGAUGCAGUUAGAGGAGCCAUGUCACUGCAGCAGCUGUGCAGUGAGUUUGUCUUAAGUUUAUUAAUUUUCUGAACAAGUUUUUCAUAGUUUAAAUUUAGAAUUCCAUUUUUAGAGUAUUACUUCAUAUUUAGUGAAAGAGCCUACAGUUAAUGUUCACCUUAUAAUAGUGAAAGAGCCCACUUAUGUGUUACAUUAAGUAGCCUCCUUCCCACCACCAGAGUGACCUUGUGCACUUCCUAUGUGCAUACAGAGACCUUGUGUGGGUACAAGUACCACAUAAUCUUGCCACAUAAACAAUGGGCAGCCAUAUUUACUGACCAUGUGAUUUCAGAGACAAGUGUUUUCAUACUCAUUGCGAUUUAGUUCUUCAAGUUUCAUCACUUUAUUCACUCUUUGUGGACCUUGAAAGACCCCAUUUUGAUUGUUAUCUCAAUCUACUCAAUCUACUAUCAGCAAUCAC
Molecule: unclassified non-coding RNA, 7335 nt
Filed under: Patiria miniata (bat star)
Lineage: Eukaryota; Metazoa; Echinodermata; Asteroidea; Valvatida; Asterinidae
Description: uncharacterized LOC119721827, transcript variant X2
Source: RNAcentral